GUGCUUGCUUUGGCAGUAUAGGCACUAAAGGUGGAAUGACACCGAGAUUAACAUAGCCCGUGCAUAAGGAUGACAUGAAGUUUAUGAAGCAUUCUGUAUUUUC
Small nuclear RNA from Cavia porcellus (domestic guinea pig), 103 nucleotides. The record is from Ensembl. NCBI's taxonomy places the organism in Eukaryota, Metazoa, Chordata, Mammalia, Rodentia, Caviidae.